AGAGUUUGAUCCUGGCUCAGGACGAACGCUGGCGGCACGCUUAACACAUGCAAGUCGAACGAGAGAAGAGGAGCUUGCUUUUCUGAUCUAGUGGCGGACGGGUGAGUAACACGUGAGCAAUCUGCCUUUCAGAGGGGGAUACCGAUUGGAAACGAUCGUUAAUACCGCAUAACAUAAUUGAACCGCAUGAUUUGAUUAUCAAAGAUUUAUCGCUGAAAGAUGAGCUCGCGUCUGAUUAGCUAGUUGGUAAGGUAACGGCUUACCAAGGCGACGAUCAGUAGCCGGACUGAGAGGUUGAUCGGCCACAUUGGGACUGAGACACGGCCCAGACUCCUACGGGAGGCAGCAGUGGGGAAUAUUGCACAAUGGAGGAAACUCUGAUGCAGCGAUGCCGCGUGAGGGAAGAAGGUUUUAGGAUUGUAAACCUCUGUCUUCAGGGACGAAAAAAGACGGUACCUGAGGAGGAAGCUCCGGCUAACUACGUGCCAGCAGCCGCGGUAGUACGUAGGGAGCGAGCGUUGUCCGGAAUUACUGGGUGUAAAGGGAGCGUAGGCGGGAUCGCAAGUCAGAUGUGAAAACUAUGGGCUUAACCCAUAAACUGCAUUUGAAACUGUGGUUCUUGAGUGAAGUAGAGGUAAGCGGAAUUCCUAGUGUAGCGGUGAAAUGCGUAGAUAUUAGGAGGAACAUCAGUGGCGAAGGCGGCUUACUGGGCUUUAACUGACGCUGAGGCUCGAAAGCGUGGGGAGCAAACAGGAUUAGAUACCCUGGUAGUCCACGCCGUAAACGAUGAUUACUAGGUGUGGGGGGACUGACCCCUUCCGUGCCGCAGCAAACGCAAUAAGUAAUCCACCUGGGGAGUACGACCGCAAGGUUGAAACUCAAAGGAAUUGACGGGGGCCCGCACAAGCAGUGGAGUAUGUGGAUUAAUUCGAAGCAACGCGAAGAACCUUACCAGGUCUUGACAUCGUAUGCAUAGCUCAGAGAUGAGUGAAAUCUCUUCGGAGACAUAUAGACAGGUGGUGCAUGGUUGUCGUCAGCUCGUGUCGUGAGAUGUUGGGUUAAGUCCCGCAACGAGCGCAACCCUUACUGUUAGUUGCUACGCAAGAGCACUCUAGCAGGACUGCCGUUGACAAAACGGAGGAAGGUGGGGAUGACGUCAAAUCAUCAUGCCCCUUAUGACCUGGGCCUCACACGUACUACAAUGGCUGUCAACAGAGGGAAGCAAAGCCGCGAGGUGGAGCGAACCCCUAAAAGCAGUCUUAGUUCGGAUUGUAGGCUGCAACCCGCCUACAUGAAGUCGGAAUUGCUAGUAAUCGCAGAUCAGCAUGCUGCGGUGAAUACGUUCCCGGGCCUUGUACACACCGCCCGUCACGCCAUGGGAGUCGGUAACACCCGAAGCCUGUAGUCUAACCGCAAGGAGGACGCAGUCGAAGGUGGGAUUGAUGACUGGGGUGAAGUCGUAACAAGGUA
Molecule: ribosomal RNA, 1470 nt
Filed under: metagenome
Description: bacterial SSU rRNA
Rfam family: Bacterial small subunit ribosomal RNA
Source: RNAcentral